RNAcentral lists this ribosomal RNA (200 nucleotides) under uncultured bacterium. RNAcentral's name for it is "partial 16S ribosomal RNA". It matches the Rfam family "Bacterial small subunit ribosomal RNA", at positions 524 to 722 of the family's 1533-position model. The record is from RNAcentral.
UACGUAGGGGGCAAGCGUUGUCCGGAAUCAUUGGGCGUAAAGCGCGUGUAGGCGGCUGAGUAAGUCUGCUCUGAAAGCCCGGGGCUCAACCCCGGGACGGCGGGUGGAUACUGCUCAGCUCGAGUCCGGAAGAGGAGUGUGGAAUUCCUGGUGUAGCGGUGAAAUGCGCAGAUAUCAGGAGGAACACCAGUGGCGAAGGC